UACGUAGGGUGCGAGCGUUAAUCGGAAUUACUGGGCGUAAAGCGUGCGCAGGCGGUUCGUUAAGUUCGAUGUGAAAGCCCCGGGCUCAACCUGGGAACUGCAUUGGAAACUGGCGAUCUAGAGUGCGGUAGAGGGUAGUGGAAUUCCCGGUGUAGCAGUGAAAUGCGUAGAGAUCGGGAGGAACAUCUGUGGCGAAGGCGACUGCCUGGACCAGCACUGACACUGAGGCACGAAAGCGUGGGGAGCAAACAGG
This 253-nucleotide ribosomal RNA is filed under the name uncultured bacterium. RNAcentral's name for it is "partial 16S ribosomal RNA". It matches the Rfam family "Bacterial small subunit ribosomal RNA", at positions 524 to 776 of the family's 1533-position model. The record is from RNAcentral.